RNAcentral lists this unclassified non-coding RNA (246 nucleotides) under Hevea brasiliensis (rubber tree). The record is from RNAcentral. Lineage: Eukaryota; Viridiplantae; Streptophyta; Magnoliopsida; Malpighiales; Euphorbiaceae.
UCUACUUGAAGGAGCUGCGUGAUUCCCCUGCUUCAAAUGAACAACUUCCUCUUCGGUUAAUUCAUGUGCCUGGAGUUAUCAUUGCUGGGCUGGUGGGGCUAAUAGUGGAUAUUCCUCUUUUCACUGCAAUUGCUAUAAUUAAGAGUCCAUACAUGCUUUUCAAGGGUUGGUUCAGACUGAUACAUGAUCUAAUUAGCCGAGAGGGUCCAUUUCUUGAAACAGCAUGCAUUCCAAUUGCUGGCUUGA